RNAcentral lists this ribosomal RNA (677 nucleotides) under uncultured bacterium. RNAcentral describes it as "bacterial SSU rRNA". It matches the Rfam family "Bacterial small subunit ribosomal RNA", at positions 190 to 860 of the family's 1533-position model. The record is from RNAcentral.
UCUUUUUGCAUUAAAAGGCGGUUCCAAAGCGUCGGUCUUGAAUGGCCUGCCGGGGUAUAGGCUAGUGGUGGGGCAAUGGCCUUACCAAGGCAACGAUGCAUAGCGGGACUGAGAGGUUGAUCGGCCACAUUGGGACUGAGACACGGCCCAACUCCUACGAGAGACAGCAGUUAGGAAUAUUCGUCAAUGGGGGAAACCCUGAACGAGCAAUGCCGCGUGAGUGAUGAAGGUCUUUUGGAUUGUAAAACUCUGUUGUAUGGGAAGAACGGCCAAACUAGGAAAUGAGUUUGAAGUGACGGUACCAUGCCAGAAAGCUCCGGCUAACUACGUGCCAGCAGCCGCGGUAAUACGUAGGGAGCAAGCGUUAUCCGGAUUUAUUGGGCGUAAAGGGUGCGUAGGCGGCUUGUUAAGUAUGAAAUUAAAGCCCGGGGCUUAACUCCGGUUUGUUUCAUAAACUGGCAGGCUUGAGUAUGGAAGAGGUAAACGGAAUUUCUAGUGUAGCGGUGGAAUGCGUAGAUAUUAGAAGGAACACCAGUGGCGAAGGCGGUUUACUGGGCCAUUACUGACGCUGAGGCACGAAAGCGUGGGGAGCAAAUAGGAUUAGAUACCCUAGUAGUCCACGCCGUAAACGAUGAGUACUAAGUGUUGGGGUUUCCCCAGUGCUGAAGUUAACAUAU